Molecule: transfer RNA, 66 nt
Filed under: Salganea raggei
Lineage: Eukaryota; Metazoa; Arthropoda; Insecta; Blattodea; Blaberidae
Description: tRNA-Cys
Source: RNAcentral
AGUUUUGUAUUCAUAAGAUGAUAAUAGAAUGCAAUUCUAUAGGAGUAGUAAAAGCUACUAAGACUU